RNAcentral lists this long non-coding RNA (1952 nucleotides) under Olea europaea subsp. europaea. The record is from RNAcentral. Lineage: Eukaryota; Viridiplantae; Streptophyta; Magnoliopsida; Lamiales; Oleaceae.
CUCUGCUGAAGGUUGAAUAUUAAUCUCGACAAUAUCGAUAGAAGAACAAUGUCCUUUGUCAUAUUGUUCUUUCCAAGGUCAGACAUAUCUAUUAAGUGAAAAUAGCGGCAGAAGUCCCCAAAUUUUGAUUUGUGUUGCAUCUUGGUCCCAAUCUUCAGAAUAGAGCAUUUACUUCUCCAGUCUCUAAUUUGAAUAGCACUUAGGUUUACGCCCUUAUAGUUAACAAGCUAAAAUUUCAUUGAAAAGAUAGUAUUGCAGUUCUCUAUUUGUUUCAUUUUAUCUAACAAAAUGGGGCAAAAAAAAAAAAGAGAGAGAGAGAAUAAAAAUUACAUUUUGUUUUACGCUAAAUUUUAUUUAUCAUUCAAAUUUAGAGAUUAGUGUUAAUAUAUUGCUUUAACUAUAAUUUCUCUUUCAAUCAUGACCAUGAAAAUGAACUUGUAGAGUUCUCGACUUUUAAGUGCAAUAAGUGAAACUUACAAUUCAAUCUAUAAAUAAAUUGAAAUGAGUGUCACUUAUGAAUUUCAUGAAAUGUAUAAAUGAAAAGUGAUUUGACGGUUCAUAAACAUUAUAGCAAAACAUAGGCUAAAAUAAGCGCCAUAACUUGGGAUUUUCCAAUUUGAUUUUCAAGUCAAGAAUUUAUACCUCAAAUUAAUCAAAAUCUAAUUGUUAAUAUUUAACCAAUUCUUAUGCAUUUAUAUAUGAGUCUAAUCAAGAUAUGAUAUCUACCUAUAUAAAUAAACAUCUUAUCACACUUCCCAACAUUUAAUGCGAAGCAAGUGAUAAUCAGAUGACGACAAUUUGGUAUUAGACCUAUUUAAGUAUUGAAUUACCAUGUUCUUAGAAAGAGCAUUACAAGUGCUGCCAACGUAGCACUUGUCAAAUAUCCGGUCACCUAAACCUGUGCAAAGAACAUUACUCAAUUAUCAUCAAUAUUUCAUCACAGUUCCCAACAAUUCACUCGAGGGAUAUCUACUGUUGCGUUGGUAUCAGAUCUAUAAAGGAAUAAUGCUACAAACAUUGGAAUUACAGAUUUAAAUAAUGAAAUUUGGAAGGUUGUUGAUUGGAACAAAUCAAAUAUAUAUCUUUUUGAUUAUUAUAUUCAUUUGAUUACAAGUGGAAUAAUGAUCGAAUGAUUAACAAAAGCCUCAAUGCAAUGGCAAUGCAUAAGAAGAUAACAAGAAAUAUAUUUGGGAAUCUUCAUCAGACUUGUUUUCUUCAAUGUUAUCUGAUUAGACCCCUCAUUAGAAAUAUAUGAAGAACCUUAACUAACAAUAAUUAACCACUUAAAAGAUUAUCGGUAAUGACCCGACCUCUAUACCCAAAUAUUAAUUUACGUAUUGUUCGCUAUGGGAAAGCCUAGCACAUUUUACCCCUUACCAAGAUUUAAUUUAAGUCUCUCUUAAAGAAAAUAUCAUGGAUUCGUAUCUUGGAGACGAGACAGAAAGUUAUGAUGAGUAAGAUGGGCUAGGUGCUCCUAUAGCAAACAAUAUGCAAAUUAAUGACUUGGACAUAGCGGUAGAAUCAUUACAUUAUCCAUAUAAUCAUAGCAUGAACAAGAGCUUAGACUAUAUGCAUCACUUCAAAAAGCAAAGUCAUCAUAUUAUUAAUCCUACCAUUCAAGCCUAUAAAUUAACCAAUUCUCACAAAAGUACCGAAAAGAUAUUGGGAGAGUUAGAUACUUUUGAAAGACCGUCUCUUGAUUACAGAGGAUCGAUUACCAUUCCAUAAAAUAAAUUAUAUUUCCAAUCACAAUUCAUGAAAUAUGGGGUUGAUUAGCUGGUCUUCUCUUACACGGUAUCAGAGUCAAAACUCUUUUUUUAGGGUUGAUUCUCAAUAGCCAAAAAUUCUCUCUUCUAAUCAAUUUCAGAUUAUAUUCUAACUGUAUUUAGUAAUCAUCAGCCACUAUACCCAUGGAAGAUCAUCCCAUCAACAUAAAUUAUGAUAUUAGCGAU